RNAcentral lists this long non-coding RNA (418 nucleotides) under Carica papaya (papaya). Its description in RNAcentral is "long non-coding RNA (CPAP_LNC003494)". Lineage: Eukaryota; Viridiplantae; Streptophyta; Magnoliopsida; Brassicales; Caricaceae. The record is from RNAcentral.
CUCACAAGAUUUUGCCACUUGACGUAAAUCUAACAAUCCACAUUUUUUAUAAAUAGGGACCCCUUUUCACCAUUUCUUCACCACUCCAACUUCAUUCUUCCAUCCACCAAUGAAUUUCAAAAGAGAGAAGUGGAAGGAAUAAAAGAAGGAAAGAUGUAGGAAAAACUUCAAGGUUUCGGUUAGGAUUUUAGUAUUUAUUUUUACAUACUAAAGAGUAUUUCUAGAUUAAAUUUAAUGGAAUCUUAAUCGGUUGAUUGCAUACCUAAUUUUAUAUGAUUUAACACAAUUAUUAUGUGCUAAUGCAUGUUUAUAUGAACGAAUAUAAACUGGUUAUUUGCAUGUUUAACUAUAAUAAUUAUUUAUGCAUAUGAUAGAAGUUAAUGCAUUUUGCAUUGUUUGAUGACAAGAUAAAUUAACA